RNAcentral lists this ribosomal RNA (277 nucleotides) under uncultured bacterium. RNAcentral's name for it is "partial 16S ribosomal RNA". It matches the Rfam family "Bacterial small subunit ribosomal RNA", at positions 335 to 631 of the family's 1533-position model. The record is from RNAcentral.
GUCCUACGGGGGGCAGCAGUGGGGGAUAUUGCACAAUGGGGGGAACCCUGAUGCAGCGACGCCGCGUGGGCGAUGGAGCGCCUCGGCGCGUAAAGCCCUAUCAGCAGGGAAGAAGAUGACGGUACCUGACUAAGAAGCCCCGGCUAAAUACGUGCCAGCAGCCGCGGUAAUACGUAUGGGGCAAGCGUUAUCCGGAUUUAUUGGGUUUAAAGGGUGCGCAGGCGGAUUUUUAAGUCAGCGGUCAAAUCGUGGGGCUCAACCCCAUCCAGCCGUUGAA